GACGAACGCUGGCGGCGUGCCUAAUACAUGCAAGUAGAACGCUGAAGAGAGGAGCUUGCUCUUCUUGGAUGAGUUGCGAACGGGUGAGUAACGCGUAGGUAACCUGCCUUGUAGCGGGGGAUAACUAUUGGAAACGAUAGCUAAUACCGCAUAACAAUGGAUGACACAUGCCAUUUAUUUGAAAGGGGCAAUUGCUCCACUACAAGAUGGACCUACGUUGUAUUAGCUAGUAGGUGAGGUAAUGGCUCACCUAGGCGACGAUACAUAGCCGACCUGAGAGGGUGAUCGGCCACACUGGGACUGAGACACGGCCCAGACUCCUACGGGAGGCAGCAGUAGGGAAUCUUCGGCAAUGGGGGCAACCCUGACCGAGCAACGCCGCGUGAGUGAAGAAGGUUUUCGGAUCGUAAAGCUCUGUUGUAAGUCAAGAACGGGUGUGAGAGUGGAAAGUUCACACUGUGACGGUAGCUUACCAGAAAGGGACGGCUAACUACGUG
RNAcentral lists this ribosomal RNA (497 nucleotides) under uncultured bacterium. Its description in RNAcentral is "partial 16S ribosomal RNA". It matches the Rfam family "Bacterial small subunit ribosomal RNA", at positions 28 to 507 of the family's 1533-position model. The record is from RNAcentral.